This 1451-nucleotide ribosomal RNA is filed under the name metagenome. RNAcentral describes it as "bacterial SSU rRNA". It matches the Rfam family "Bacterial small subunit ribosomal RNA". The record is from RNAcentral.
GGGAUUGCUUGCAAUCCUGAGUAGAGUGGCGCACGGGUGAGUAACACGUAGAUAAUCUACCUUCAAGCCUGGAAUAACUAUUCGAAAGGAUAGCUAAUACCGGAUAAAGUUGUUCAACUCAAGUUGAAUUAUGAAAGAUUGCCUCUUCAUGAAAGCAAUUGUUUGGAGAUGAGUUUGCGGACCAUUAGUUAGUUGGUGGGGUAAAGGCCUACCAAGACUACGAUGGUUAGCUGGUCUGAGAGGAUGAUCAGCCACACUGGAACUGGUACACGGUCCAGACUCCUACGGGAGGCAGCAGUGAGGAAUUUUGCGCAAUGGGGGAAACCCUGACGCAGCAACGCCGCGUGAGUGAAGAAGGCCCUUGGGUCGUAAAGCUCUGUCGACAGGGAAGAAAUUGUAUUAUUCUAAUAGGGUAAUACAUUGACGGUACCUGUAGAGGAAGCACCGGCUAACUCCGUGCCAGCAGCCGCGGUAAUACGGGGGGUGCAAGCGUUAUUCGGAAUUAUUGGGCGUAAAGGGCGCGUAGGCGGUCUUGUCGGUCAGAUGUGAAAGCCCAGGGCUCAACCCUGGACGUGCAUUUGAAACAGCAAGACUUGAAUACUGGAGAGGAGAGCGGAAUUCCUGGUGUAGAGGUGAAAUUCGUAGAUAUCAGGAGGAACACCGAUGGCGAAGGCAGCUCUCUGGACAGAUAUUGACGCUGAGGCGCGAAGGCGUGGGUAGCGAACAGGAUUAGAUACCCUGGUAGUCCACGCAGUAAACGAUGUUCACUAGGUGUGGCGGGUAUUAAAAUCUGCUGUGCCCAAGCUAACGCAUUAAGUGAACCGCCUGGGGAGUACGGCCGCAAGACUAAAACUCAAAGGAAUUGACGGGGGCCCGCACAAGCGGUGGAGCAUGUGGUUUAAUUCGAUGCAACGCGAAGAACCUUACCAGCCCUUGACAUCCUGCGAACUUUCUAGAGAUAGAUUGGUGCCUUCGGGAGCGCAGUGACAGGUGCUGCAUGGCUGUCGUCAGCUCGUGUCGUGAGAUGUCGGGUUAAGUCCCGUAACGAGCGCAACCCUUGUCCUUAGUUGCCAGCACAUAAUGGUGGGAACUCUAAGGAGACUGCCGGUGAUAAACCGGAGGAAGGUGGGGAUGACGUCAAGUCAUCAUGGCCCUUAUGGGCUGGGCUACACACGUGCUACAAUGGCCGGUACAGAGGGUUGCGAAGCAGCGAUGUGGAGCCAAUCCCAGAAAACCGGUCGUAGUCCGGAUUGCAGUCUGCAACUCGACUGCAUGAAGUCGGAAUCGCUAGUAAUCGCGAAUCAGAAUGUCGCGGUGAAUACGUUCCCGGGCCUUGUACACACCGCCCGUCACACCAUGGGAGUUGGUUGCACCAGAAGUAGGUAGCCUAACCUUCGGGAGGGCGCUUACCACGGUGUGGUCAAUGACUGGGGUGAAGUCGUAACAAGGUA